UCCUGCUUAAGUGUGCAGCGGUACAAAGUGAUGCUCAAGUGUAAUCUGGUCAAGAACAUCAAGGGUAAGUCAAAGACUGUUUCAGAGAUAUGGAGCAUGAGUGACUUCAAGGGUUUGCAGUUGAUUCAAGGAGAAUUAUGUGGUAGCAAUUUCUGUUAGCAACAUGAAGGGUGAACAAAGGUUGUGUCGACAGUCUGUCCAGCAGUGAUGGUUGGAUGGCGGGUCAUGUUCAGAGUAACAGCGGUACAAAAGGUGUUCAAGGCUGGAGUGUUUUAAACAAGUAGAGAAUCAGAGGUUUUUUCAGGUCUGAAGCAUAUGUGAUUCGAAGGUUGUUGCACAAUAUUCAAGGAAUUUGAAUCCAAGGUGGAGCUUUCAGACAAGAAUCGAAGCUCAAAGGCAAAAGGAGAAAUUUGCAGACUUGACCGGGUCAGAACUUCAUGCUUGAACAAGUCAGGGUUCAGGUUUAGUUACAGCUUGAGAAACUCGUCAUGAGUUCGAGUUUUGACACGAAAGAAGCUGUAAUGGAGUAUCUCAGGAGCAUCACAGGGUUGGAUGAUGAGAGAUACAGUGAAAGGCCGACAUGAACAAUGAACAGUUGCAGAAACUUAGUUACAGAGACAUGGUACUUCUAAAGGGUUAUUUUAUUCAGGUGGAGCCACUGAGAUUAUAUAAGGAUUGAUGCAUCAGAGAUAUAUAUAAUCUGAUUCCAGAUGGAGUGAGUCACUGAAGGGGUAAAAGGUUCGGUUAGCAACAUGGUCAGCUCAAGGGAGUAAGAGCUGGAAGGAAAGGUUAUUCCAUGACAAGAGGGUCGUGGAUAUGUUCAGUGUAUCAAGGCCAGGAGUGUCAAGGUCAGUUAACAAGUACAAGCCGCAUCAUUAGGAGAUUUGUAAGAGGAGUCUUACAUAAGGGAACUUGUCGGCGAGAUAAGUAAAUCGGCAUAUGUAUCAUGAGUACACUGCAGUGAGGUUGAUACAGAGGACCAUAAAAUCAGAGCCGAGUAUGAUGCAAGAUAACACGUGGUUAAACUGAAGGGAAGUAAGUAUCAAGAGAAGAGAUACUGAAAUAUUGAACAGUGAAGAUGAAGAAUGGUGAGAUGAAACAAAAUAAGAAACUGUUAGAAGACAUUGCAGGGAUUGCAGGGAAUUGUCUUAUAGUUUUUCCAUCUCAAGAAGGGUAAGACUUGUUCUUCACAAGCAGGCUCAUCUUAAGCUCGAAUCAUGGAACUGAAAGAAGGUUUCAUGAAGGUCUAAAUUCAAGGAAAAAACGAUUGCAUUUUAGAGAAAAUGAACCAGUGGAGUUCUGGAUAUAUGGUCGCAUCACAGGGGAAUAUUGAGGCAGUGUCCUCAGGAAAUUCCAUUAGCAAAUGGCCAGACACUCAUCAAUGGCCAAGUACUCAUCAAGCUAAUGGCGGGUUCAAAGACUAACAGGCGUGUUCAAGUCGUUGAUGGUGAUGCACAUGUUUCGGUGUUUGGAGACAUAUUAAUACAAGAAGGGUAUUGAGAUAAUGAAUUCACAGCUGAGAAAAGAAGGGAUAUCAGGGAUCCUAGAUAAAGAUUUCACAGACAGCUCGUGAGGAGAGCCAAUGCGUAUCAUGGAUUCGAUGGUAUGAGGCUCAGUUCAUUCAACUAGCAGUGGGGUCUAAAUCUUUUAGUGGAGGUUCUGUUAUUGCAGAACAGUUUGAUCAGAUGGUGGAGCAAAGAUAUUUGUGUCGAUAGUCUUCCUAAUCAUACGGUUUUAGGCGGCGUGUCCUGCUUAAGUGUGCAGCGGUACAAAGUGAUGCUCAAGUGUAAUCUGGUCAAGAACAUCAAGGGUAAGUCAAAGACUGUUUCAGAGAUAUGGAGCAUGAGUGACUUCAAGGGUUUGCAGUUGAUUCAAGGAGAAUUAUGUGGUAGCAAUUUCUGUUAGCAACAUGAAGGGUGAACAAAGGUUGUGUCGACAGUCUGUCCAGCAGUGAUGGUUGGAUGGCGGGUCAUGUUCAGAGUAACAGCGGUACAAAAGGUGUUCAAGGCUGGAGUGUUUUAAACAAGUAGAGAAUCAGAGGUUUUUUCAGGUCUGAAGCAUAUGUGAUUCGAAGGUUGUUGCACAAUAUUCAAGGAAUUUGAUUCAAGGCUCAGUGCACAUGGGUGGAAUUGAAAGGCCAAAGAGGAAAUCAACUUGUAGAAGGAUGUUCAGGUCUCUGUUCAAGCACUUGAACAUGUUCGUGAUUUUGACAGCAAGGUUGUGUUGUUGAUAAGUUCACGAGGAGUAAAAAGAUAUGAAGUAACACGACGUC
Molecule: long non-coding RNA, 2272 nt
Filed under: Brassica napus (rape)
Lineage: Eukaryota; Viridiplantae; Streptophyta; Magnoliopsida; Brassicales; Brassicaceae
Description: long non-coding RNA (BNAP_LNC015956)
Source: RNAcentral